CCUACGGGAGGCAGCAGUAGGGAAUAUUGCACAAUGGAGGAAACUCUGAUGCAGCCAUGCCGCGUGUGUGAAGAGGGCCUUCGGGUUGUAAAGCACUUUCGGAGGGGAGGAAGAAAAUGACGUUACCCUCAGAAGAAGCACCGGCUAACUCCGUGC
RNAcentral lists this ribosomal RNA (156 nucleotides) under uncultured bacterium. RNAcentral describes it as "partial 16S ribosomal RNA". It matches the Rfam family "Bacterial small subunit ribosomal RNA", at positions 338 to 508 of the family's 1533-position model. The record is from RNAcentral.